AAAGCUUUAAGUUAAUUAAACUCUAAACCUUCAAAGUUUAAAAUAAAAGUACAGCCUAUUAGGCUUUA
RNAcentral lists this transfer RNA (68 nucleotides) under Lipothrix lubbocki. Its description in RNAcentral is "tRNA-Trp". Lineage: Eukaryota; Metazoa; Arthropoda; Collembola; Symphypleona; Sminthuridae. The record is from RNAcentral.